This is a non-coding RNA of Gossypium arboreum, 106 nucleotides long. The record is from Rfam. NCBI's taxonomy places the organism in Eukaryota, Viridiplantae, Streptophyta, Magnoliopsida, Malvales, Malvaceae.
AAUCCAUGGUGAGGACACCUUCGCAGUAGGUCCUUUUAUCUCUCCCAUGCAUCUUAAAGAGUUUCUAAGUCCAUCUGUACAAACAAAGAGAUAUCAUUAAGUAAUU